GAGAUGUCCGAGGGGUGCUCCGCGAGGAGCUGAGAUGGGACCUCGAUCCCGAACCCUUUGAACCUGAUCCGGGUCAUGCCGGCGAAGGGACGGGAACGCCUCAAAGA
This 107-nucleotide non-coding RNA is filed under the name Lutibaculum baratangense AMV1. Its description in RNAcentral is "Phyllobacteriaceae bacterium AMV1 TPP riboswitch aptamer (THI element)". It matches the Rfam family "TPP riboswitch aptamer (THI element)". Rfam says of the family: Vitamin B(1) in its active form thiamin pyrophosphate (TPP) is an essential coenzyme that is synthesised by coupling of pyrimidine and thiazole moieties in bacteria. The previously detected thiamin-regulatory element, thi box was extended, resulting in a new, highly conserved RNA secondary structure, the THI element, which is widely distributed in eubacteria and also occurs in some archaea. Analysis of operon structures identified a large number of new candidate thiamin-regulated genes, mostly transporters, in various prokaryotic organisms. RNAcentral also lists the same sequence under 1 other name. The record is from Rfam by way of RNAcentral. Lineage: Bacteria; Pseudomonadati; Pseudomonadota; Alphaproteobacteria; Hyphomicrobiales; Tepidamorphaceae.